GACGAACGCUGGCGGCGUGCUUAACACAUGCAAGUCGAACGGCAAGGCCCUGCUUUUGUGGUGUGCUCGAGUGGCGAACGGGUGAGUAACACGUGAGUAACCUGCUCUUGACUUUGGGAUAACUUCAGGAAACUGGGGCUAAUACCGUAUAGGAGCCCCUGCUGCAUGGUGGGGGUUGGAAAGUUUCGGCGGUUGGGGAUGGACUCGCGGCUUAUCAGCUUGUUGGUGGGGUAGUGGCUUACCAAGGCUUUGACGGGUCGCCGGCCUGUGAGGGUGACCGGCCACAUUGGGACUGAGAUACGGCCCAGACUCCUACGGGAGGCAGCAGUGGGGAACAUUGCACAAUGGGCGGAAGCCUGAUGCAGCAACGCCGCGUGCGGGAUGACGGCCUUCGGGGUGUAAACCGCAUUCGCCUGUGACGAAGCGUGAGUGACGGUAAUGGGUAAAGAAGCACCGGCUAACUACGUG
This 468-nucleotide ribosomal RNA is filed under the name uncultured bacterium. RNAcentral's name for it is "partial 16S ribosomal RNA". It matches the Rfam family "Bacterial small subunit ribosomal RNA", at positions 28 to 507 of the family's 1533-position model. The record is from RNAcentral.